UACGUAGGGGGCAAGCGUUGUCCGGAUUUAUUGGGCGUAAAGAGCGUGUAGGCGGCCUGAAAGGUCAGCUGUGAAAACUCGAGGCUCAACCUCGAGACGUCGGUUGAAACCAUCUGGCUAGAGUCCGGAAGAGGAGUGUGGAAUUCCCGGUGUAGCGGUGAAAUGCGCAGAUAUCGGGAAGAACACCCGUGGCGAAGGCGGCACUCUGGGACGGUACUGACGCUGAGAGACGAAAGCUAGGGGAGCGAAUGGG
Molecule: ribosomal RNA, 253 nt
Filed under: uncultured bacterium
Lineage: Bacteria
Description: partial 16S ribosomal RNA
Rfam family: Bacterial small subunit ribosomal RNA
Source: RNAcentral